Molecule: ribosomal RNA, 253 nt
Filed under: uncultured bacterium
Lineage: Bacteria
Description: partial 16S ribosomal RNA
Rfam family: Bacterial small subunit ribosomal RNA
Source: RNAcentral
UACGUAGGGUGCAAGCGUUGUCCGGAAUUAUUGGGCGUAAAGAGCUCGUAGGCGGUCUGUCGCGUCGGAUGUGAAAAUCCAGGGCUCAACCCUGGACCUGCAUUCGAUACGGGCAGACUAGAGUUCGGUAGGGGAGACUGGAAUUCCUGGUGUAGCGGUGAAAUGCGCAGAUAUUAGGAGGAACACCGGUGGCGAAGGCGGGUCUCUGGGCCGAAACUGACGCUGAGGAGCGAAAGCGUGGGGAGCAAACAGG